GAUGAACGCUGGCGAGAUGCCUUACACAUGCAAGUCGUACGGGAAUUUUUAAUUCAAGUGGCGGACGGGUGAGUAACACGUAAGAAUUUGCCUUUAGGAGGGGGACAACAACUGGAAACGGUUGCUAAUACCCCAUAUGCUUUCGAGUGAAAUGGAUUUUUCCGCCUAAAGAGAAGCUUGCGGCUGAUUAGCUUGUUGGUGAGGUAAUGGCUCACCAAGGCGACGAUCAGUAUCUGGUUUGAGAGGAUGAUCAGACACACUGGAACUGAGACACGGUCCAGACUCCUACGGGAGGCAGCAGUGGGGAAUUUUCCGCAAUGGGCGAAAGCCUGACGGAGCAAUCUCGCGUGAGGGAUGACGGCCUAUGGGUUGUAAACCUCUUUUUUUCAGGGAGGAACAAAAUGACGUGUACCUGAAGAAUAAGCAUCGGCUAACUCCGUG
This 441-nucleotide ribosomal RNA is filed under the name uncultured bacterium. RNAcentral's name for it is "bacterial SSU rRNA". It matches the Rfam family "Bacterial small subunit ribosomal RNA", at positions 28 to 507 of the family's 1533-position model. The record is from RNAcentral.